Panicum virgatum (switchgrass) is the source of this 1141-nucleotide long non-coding RNA. RefSeq lists it as uncharacterized. The record is from RefSeq and is a predicted model, not a curated record. The transcript has 3 exons. Lineage: Eukaryota; Viridiplantae; Streptophyta; Magnoliopsida; Poales; Poaceae.
GUCGACGCACACAAGCCGCCGUCGCUGCCAUGGUCGACUCUCAUGGUGAGGUGAUCUACCCUCUUCUCCACAGACAGCGUGGGGAAAAUGGUAGUGCGCGCAUGGUGGAAGUGGCGGUCCCAAUAUAGGGAAGACAAUGGCGCCGCCGUUUGAAUCCCCCACCACCGGCCAUCCAUCGCCCGAUUUCUUGAGCAUCCAGUCAUCCACCACUGCCUCUGCACCACGAACCUUCAGUAGCCUCCAGGCAGAGCCUUCGUUGACAGCACUGGCUCCAUGUCGACGCAUGCAAGCCGCCGUUGCCACCAUGGUCGACUUUUACGGUGAUAUACCCUCUUCUCCCACAUACAGCGUACGUGCGAAGAAGGUAGUGCAUGCGGCAGAAGCGGCGGUCCCAACAGAAGGAAGACAACGGCGCCGCCCAGUGAAUCCCCCGCCACCAGCUAUCCAUCGCCUGAUUCCUUGAGCAUCCACCACCGUCUACCACGAACCUCCACUAGCCUCUAGGCAGAGCCUUCAUUGACAGCACCUGCUCCCCAUCGACACACACAAAAGCCGCCGUCGCCUCCUUGGUCCACUCUCACGGAUUCUCAUGCACCCACAGGACUCUUGCUUUCGCCGCCUGACUACCCGGAACACGGUCAGCGCCGCCCUGGACUGCCGUACCUCCUGCUGUGCAGCGACGGAGGUGAGCUCGAGGAGCACAUCGCACGGCUGCCAGUCACCCGCUGGUGCCAUGGGAAGCAGCUCCGAUCCGGCGACAACCUCUUGCGUCUGCGCCAUCCCUCGAGGAAUGCAGGAGUUGUAUCCGAGGAUCCGACGUUGCAUCCACUGCCUGCCAAGUGUUCGGCAAAAUGUCCAGCCGCUAACACAGUUUCAUAGGUUUUACGAAGGUGGGGAGGAUGAGUACCAGAAGGGCUCCGAACAUUCUGCGAACAUUCUGAGCACACAACAUAGCAGGAGGUAAGGCGGUGGAUUCGGGAAUGAAUAUACAUGUGAUGUGAACCUUGCAAGAAAAAAAUAACCAAGGAGUUGCUCACUAAUCCAUAUAGGAAACAUGCAUGUUUGAGCACAUCAUCGGCUAGCCAACCACUUUAAGAUUAAUUUCUAGGACCCUAUGUUUGAGUACAUCAUCGGCUAGCCU